RNAcentral lists this unclassified non-coding RNA (372 nucleotides) under soil metagenome. RNAcentral's name for it is "partial contains 5.8S ribosomal RNA, internal transcribed spacer 2, and large subunit ribosomal RNA". The stretch from base 1 to 120 matches the Rfam family "5.8S ribosomal RNA", at positions 35 to 154 of the family's 154-position model. The record is from RNAcentral.
GAUGAAGAACGUAGCGAAAUGCGAUACGUAAUGUGAAUUGCAGAAUUCAGUGAAUCAUCGAGUCUUUGAACGCACAUUGCGCCCUUUGGUAUUCCGAAGGGCAUGCCUGUUCGAGCGUCAUUAUCACCCCUCAAGCCCUCGGCUUGGUGUUGGACGGUUUGGUGGAGGCCCCCUCGGGGGCUCCUGCCCCUCCCAAAGACAAUGACGGCGGCCUCGUUGGACCCCCGGUACACUGAGUUCUUCACGGGACACGUAUCGGACACAUGGGUUUACGGGACACGGUCUGCCUCCCCUCAGGGAGAAUCUUUCUAAGGUUGACCUCGGAUCAGGUAGGGAUACCCGCUGAACUUAAGCAUAUCAAUAAGCGGAGGA